GGCCUGAGGAGACUCAGAAGCC
This 22-nucleotide unclassified non-coding RNA is filed under the name synthetic construct. The record is from RNAcentral.